ACUCAAAUGAAUUGACGGGGGCCCGCACAAGCGGUGGAGCAUGUGGUUUAAUUCGAUGCAACGCGAAGAACCUUACCUACCCUUGACAUCCACGGAAUCCUGCAGAGAUGCGGGAGUGCCGAAAGGAACCGUGAGACAGGUGCUGCAUGGCUGUCGUCAGCUCGUGUUGUGAGAUGUUGGGUUAAGUCCCGUAACGAGCGCAACCCUUAUCCUUAGUUGCCAACACGUAAUGGUGGGGACUCUAAGGAGACUGCCGGUGAAGAACCGGAGGAAGGCGGGGACGACGUCAAGUCAUCAUGGCCUUUAUGGGUAGGGCUACACACGUGCUACAAUGGGGCGUACAGAGGGAAGCGAACCUGCGAAGGGGAGCGAAUCUUAGAAAGCGUCUCGUAGUCCAGAUUGAAGUCUGCAACUCGACUUCAUGAAGUCGGAAUCGCUAGUAAUCGCGAAUCAGAACGUCGCGGUGAAUACGUUCCCGGGCCUUGUACACACCGCCCGU
This 499-nucleotide ribosomal RNA is filed under the name uncultured bacterium. RNAcentral's name for it is "partial 16S ribosomal RNA". It matches the Rfam family "Bacterial small subunit ribosomal RNA", at positions 899 to 1397 of the family's 1533-position model. The record is from RNAcentral.